This 433-nucleotide ribosomal RNA is filed under the name uncultured bacterium. RNAcentral's name for it is "partial 16S ribosomal RNA". It matches the Rfam family "Bacterial small subunit ribosomal RNA", at positions 29 to 507 of the family's 1533-position model. The record is from RNAcentral.
AACGAACGCUGGCGGCAUGCCUAACACAUGCAAGUCGAACGAGACCUUCGGGUCUAGUGGCGCACGGGUGCGUAACGCGUGGGAACCUGCCCUUAGGUUCGGAAUAACUCCCCGAAAGGGGUGCUAAUACCGGAUAAUGUCUUCGGACCAAAGAUUUAUCGCCUUUGGAUGGGCCCGCGUUGGAUUAGCUAGUUGGUAGGGUAAAAGCCUACCAAGGCGACGAUCCAUAGCUGGUCUGAGAGGAUGAUCAGCCACACUGGGACUGAGACACGGCCCAGACUCCUACGGGAGGCAGCAGUGGGGAAUAUUGGACAAUGGGCGAAAGCCUGAUCAAGCAAUGCCGCGUGAGUGAUGAAGGCCGUAGGGUUGUAAAGCUCUUUUACCCGAGAUGAUAAUGACAGUACCGGGAGAAUAAGCUCCGGCUAACUACGUG